This 468-nucleotide ribosomal RNA is filed under the name uncultured bacterium. RNAcentral describes it as "partial 16S ribosomal RNA". It matches the Rfam family "Bacterial small subunit ribosomal RNA", at positions 28 to 507 of the family's 1533-position model. The record is from RNAcentral.
GACGAACGCUGGCGGCGUGCUUAACACAUGCAAGUCGAACGGAAAGGCCCUGCUUUUGUGGGGUGCUCGAGUGGCGAACGGGUGAGUAACACGUGAGUAACCUGCCCUUGACUUUGGGAUAACUUCAGGAAACUGGGGCUAAUACCGGAUAGGAGCUCCUGCUGCAUGGUGGGGGUUGGAAAGUUUCGGCGGUUGGGGAUGGACUCGCGGGUUAUCAGCUUGUUGGUGGGGUAGUGGCUUACCAAGGCUUUGACGGGUAGCCGGCCUGAGAGGGUGACCGGCCACAUUGGGACUGAGAUACGGCCCAGACUCCUACGGGAGGCAGCAGUGGGGAAUAUUGCACAAUGGGCGGAAGCCUGAUGCAGCAACGCCGCGUGCGGGAUGACGGCCUUCGGGUUGUAAACCGCUUCCGCCUGUGACGAAGCGUGAGUGACGGUAAUGGGUAAAGAAGCACCGGCUAACUACGUG